This 680-nucleotide long non-coding RNA is filed under the name Vigna radiata. RNAcentral describes it as "long non-coding RNA (VRAD_LNC013936)". The record is from RNAcentral. Lineage: Eukaryota; Viridiplantae; Streptophyta; Magnoliopsida; Fabales; Fabaceae.
UGAUAUGCGGGGCUCAAGCCCAAUUUCUUUAGUUUAGUAUUUCUUUUACUUGUAUUAGAGAUGUGUACAAUGUGUUAGGCAUGUGGUACAUUUAGCACUAUAUACAAGCAUGCUAACACAUCUUGUAAUCACUUUUGAGCUAAUUGAAUUGUUACCUGUUGAGAAUUACUCCAGAACAAUUCUACCUUGAAAGUCAAGGCUAGAGAAUCCCAAAGGAUCUCCUCUANCCACCUUCCAUUUCACACUUACCAUUAUAUCAUUUUCCACCAUCAAUUUCUCACUCCUCCACGUAAUACCACCGUACGCCACCUUCCAAUCCACCUUUGUCGCGUGGCCUGCGUCAGCCACCUCUACAUUUCUCAGACUUCCACAUUAUUAUGCAUCAUUUUCACAUUUCCCUCAUCAACACUGAUCGAAGCCACAUACCUCUUUCGCCUAGGGUUUCCUUCGCGAAUCUCUCCUCGCGAGUGUCAACUUCCUAGAUCCAUAACCACUACUACCUCCGCCUCACCGGAUCGUCUUCCUCGUCAGAUCCACCGAACCAAAUCUCCGAUUUUCCUUUUCCGAUUCUUCGCACCGAUCAAACCUUGGUUUGGUGCCUUAUCUUUGCUUCCGCCAUCGUUUUUCGUCUUUUCCACCGAUUAGAAUUGGAAAUCUGGGCCAUUUCAUCGAUUCAAUCG